This 279-nucleotide ribosomal RNA is filed under the name Triticum aestivum (bread wheat). RNAcentral describes it as "partial small subunit ribosomal RNA". Lineage: Eukaryota; Viridiplantae; Streptophyta; Magnoliopsida; Poales; Poaceae. The record is from RNAcentral.
CUUUGGUUAGUCUACAAAAAAAGUAUACUUACUAGAGACUCCUUAUUGAAGAGGGGGUGGAAAGGACAAAGUAACUGUGUGUUUUGUGGGAAAGAUGAACCAGUUGAUCAUCUAUUUUUCACAUGUUCGGCUGCUUCUAUGAUGUGGAGUUUAAUCAAAUGUUCAUUUGGGCUGAGAAAAACUCCAUCAUCAGUCCAAGAAUGUUUCAGGGAAUGGUUAGACACAUUUAGGGCGAAUGAUAAGAAAAGGGUGUUAGUUGGGAUUGCUACAGUAUUCUAG